CCCCAUCCCGCCUUUCUGUCUUCCCUCCCCCUUGCUGACUGAUUGAGUGUGGGUGUUGAGAGAGUGGCAAAGAGAGGGAAGAACCAACUGGACACAAUUUGGUGGUUAUUAAUUAAAAAAGACAAAAGGAAGAAACAGGGCUCAAAGCAUUAGCAUAAAGAAGCUGGCAAGCAGAAUACAUUUUUGGCUGGAAAGGUUUCAUCCUCUCCAACCAUCAAGACCAACAGAGCCAUUUGCUCACUUGCCCACCAGCAGAAUAUGGAAGACAAUCAGAAAGGAAAGAGUAAGUAAUGAGACCAUUUAAGUUGCUUGCACCAGAGGUAUACAAACCUUUCUAGAAAAAUGGAAACGAAAGAAGUCUCAUGGGAAAUUUAAUGGAGGAUAAAAAAGCAAGGUCUCACUGCCAGCUCUGUAUCACCUGUAUGGCAACUGCUCCCUUAACAUGAAAGGGUUACACAUAUAAGGUUGUAGCUUAUAUCAUAUUAUGAGAUUUGUGAAGAUAUGCAGAAACUCCAGAUGGACUCUGACUUCAGUAAUUCUCAUAUAUAAGGAUGAGGCUUUUAACCACAGAUUUCAGAGGAAUCAGCAUAAUUUCUCCACGAUCUUAUUAGAACAAAGAAAAAAAAAAAAAA
Long non-coding RNA from Passer domesticus (house sparrow), 632 nucleotides. RefSeq lists it as uncharacterized. The transcript has 5 exons. The record is from RefSeq and is a predicted model, not a curated record. Lineage: Eukaryota; Metazoa; Chordata; Aves; Passeriformes; Passeridae.